RNAcentral lists this ribosomal RNA (490 nucleotides) under uncultured bacterium. RNAcentral's name for it is "partial 16S ribosomal RNA". It matches the Rfam family "Bacterial small subunit ribosomal RNA", at positions 30 to 507 of the family's 1533-position model. The record is from RNAcentral.
AUUGAACGCUGGCGGCAGGCCUAACACAUGCAAGUCGAACGGUAACAGGAAGACGCUUGCUUCUUUGCUGACGAGUGGCGGACGGGUGAGUAAUGUCUGGGAAACUGCCUGAUGGAGGGGGAUAACUACUGGAAACGGUAGCUAAUACCGCAUAACGUCGCAAGACCAAAGAGGGGGACCUUCGGGCCUCUUGCCAUCGGAUGUGCCCAGAUGGGAUUAGCUAGUAGGUGGGGUAACGGCUCACCUAGGCGACGAUCCCUAGCUGGUCUGAGAGGAUGACCAGCCACACUGGAACUGAGACACGGUCCAGACUCCUACGGGAGGCAGCAGUGGGGAAUAUUGCACAAUGGGCGCAAGCCUGAUGCAGCCAUGCCGCGUGUAUGAAGAAGGCCUUCGGGUUGUAAAGUACUUUCAGCGGGGAGGAAGGGAGUAAAGUUAAUACCUUUGCUCAUUGACGUUACCCGCAGAAGAAGCACCGACUAACUCCGUG